GACGAACGCUGGCGGCGUGCCUAAUACAUGCAAGUAGAACGCUGAAGGAGGAGCUUGCUUCUCUGGAUGAGUUGCGAACGGGUGAGUAACGCGUAGGUAACCUGCCUGGUAGCGGGGGAUAACUAUUGGAAACGAUAGCUAAUACCGCAUAAUAGUAGAUGUUGCAUGACAUUUGCUUAAAAGGUGCAAUUGCAUCACUACCAGAUGGACCUGCGUUGUAUUAGCUAGUUGGUGAGGUAACGGCUCACCAAGGCAACGAUACAUAGCCGACCUGAGAGGGUGAUCGGCCACACUGGGACUGAGACACGGCCCAGACUCCUACGGGAGGCAGCAGUAGGGAAUCUUCGGCAAUGGACGGAAGUCUGACCGAGCAACGCCGCGUGAGUGAAGAAGGUUUUCGGAUCGUAAAGCUCUGUUGUAAGAGAAGAACGAGUGCGAGAGUGGAAAGUUCACACUGUGACGGUAUCUUACCAGAAAGGGACGGCUAACUACGU
This 494-nucleotide ribosomal RNA is filed under the name uncultured bacterium. RNAcentral describes it as "partial 16S ribosomal RNA". It matches the Rfam family "Bacterial small subunit ribosomal RNA", at positions 28 to 506 of the family's 1533-position model. The record is from RNAcentral.